UACGAAGGGGGCUAGCGUUGCUCGGAAUUACUGGGCGUAAAGCGCACGUAGGCGGCUUUCUAAGUCGGGGGUGAAAUCCUGGAGCUCAACUCCAGAACUGCCUUCGAUACUGGAGAGCUCGAGUCCGGGAGAGGUGAGUGGAACUGCGAGUGUAGGGGUGAAAUUCGUAGAUAUUCGCAAGAACACCAGUGGCGAAGGCGGCUCACUGGCCCGGUACUGACGCUGAGGUGCGAAAGCGUGGGGAGCAAACAGG
This 253-nucleotide ribosomal RNA is filed under the name uncultured bacterium. Its description in RNAcentral is "partial 16S ribosomal RNA". It matches the Rfam family "Bacterial small subunit ribosomal RNA", at positions 524 to 776 of the family's 1533-position model. The record is from RNAcentral.